CAAGUAUUCAGCCCAAGUUUAUUACCACAGUGGACUCGGGUUAUAAUUACCAACAGAGGAGAGAAUAACUAUAAGUUAUUUUGAUGUAAAAAGCAUAUUAUCCUAAGCCAACAUAAUAACACAGUUUUUAUGAAGCACAAUAAUUACACUGAAGACUCACAGAAGUGCAUUUUUCUAAAAGAAGGAGAUUCUCAUACAGAAACAGAUUAACAGAAACAGAAACAGCAACACUAGAGAACAGCAAAAUAGUAACAUUUCAAGAAAAUAUAUACACCUUCACAGUAUGUGAUGGUAUCCACUUACUGUCUACUGCCUCCAUAACUCCUAAAGUCUUCUGAAGAUUUAUUAAUGCUUUGAAUAUAUGAGCCACCGUUUCUUUUCACAGCCUUUUCACAACUGGGAAUUCUUUAGAGAAAGGCAAUCUUACUUCAUUUACUUACUUCAUCAGUAAUGCCAUUACUAUGCCUACUUAAGAAGAAAAUAUAUCAUGUGGCAGAGGACUAGAAAGAAAAAACAACAACAAAAGGCUGUGAAGAUUUGAUCAUAUGCCUACGUGUGUGGUGAAUACAAUAU
This 573-nucleotide long non-coding RNA is filed under the name Pan troglodytes (chimpanzee). Its description in RNAcentral is "long non-coding RNA NONPTRT010165". The record is from RNAcentral. Lineage: Eukaryota; Metazoa; Chordata; Mammalia; Primates; Hominidae.